RNAcentral lists this ribosomal RNA (742 nucleotides) under uncultured bacterium. RNAcentral describes it as "bacterial SSU rRNA". It matches the Rfam family "Bacterial small subunit ribosomal RNA", at positions 757 to 1501 of the family's 1533-position model. The record is from RNAcentral.
AAGCGUGGGGAGCAAACAGGAUUAGAUACCCUGGUAGUCCACGCCCUAAACGAUGCACACUAGUUGUUGUGAGGCUAGACCUUGCAGUAAUGCAGUUAACACAUUAAGUGUGCCGCCUGGGGAGUACGGUCGCAAGAUUAAAACUCAAAGGAAUAGACGGGGACCCGCACAAGCGGUGGAGCAUGUGGUUUAAUUCGACGAUACGCGAAGAACCUUACCUGGACUUGACAUAGAUAGAAUAUAACAGAGAUGUAUUAGUGCUUGCUUGCAAGAGCUAUCAUACAGGUGCUGCACGGCUGUCGUCAGCUCGUGUCGUGAGAUGUUGGGUUAAGUCCCGCAACGAGCGCAACCCUCGUCAUUAGUUGCUAACAGUUCGGCUGAGAACUCUAAUGAGACUGCCUGGGUAACCAGGAGGAAGGUGAGGACGACGUCAAGUCAUCAUGGCCCUUACGGCCAGGGCUACACACGUGCUACAAUGGGGUAUACAAAGAGCAGCGAUACCGCGAGGUGGAGCAAAUCUCAUAAAAUAUCUCCCAGUUCGGAUAGUAGUCUGCAACUCGACUACUUGAAGUUGGAAUCGCUAGUAAUCGUAGAUCAGCAAUGCUACGGUGAAUACGUUCCCGGGUCUUGUACUCACCGCCCGUCACACCAUGGGAGUUGAACUCAUUCGAAGCGGGGAUGCUAAAGUAGCUACCCUCCACAGUGGAUUCAGCGACUGGGGUGAAGUCGUAACAAGGUAACC